GUAAUCUCUUAAUCAUUGUGCAAUCAAUAUACUUAUCAUUAAAUAAACACCUACAUAUUACUUUCAAAUAUACCUUAUAUCCUAGCCUAUGAGAACAACUAUUUUCUUUUAUAAAAGAAUCUAAAGGUAAACAGUCUCCUAUUUGUUUACGAUGACAAUAAAUAUUUUAACUUAAAUAUAAAAAUAUGUCUCCCCCUAUCUUUUGCAAUGCAUUAGGUGACUUUUCAUCCUUGAAUUCCAUGUACUAGAUGUAGCCUCUUCAGGCGAGAAAGUAGGUGGUGGUGACCUAAACACAGCUUCAAUUCUGUCAUCAUUACUAGUCUCAUGAACCCAAACAUCGUCCUUAUUUAAGACAUUUCAUUUUGGUUAGGGUCUUAUUAUCUAUUUCCAUGAGCUUUAAAUAUGGAUUCCUAUCCAUACCUGUCAAAAUAAUCCUAAAAUGCUAAAAAAUAGAAAUUAAUGCUUGACCAUAUGAAAUAGACUUUUGCUUUUGAUCAUAUGGCAUGAUCGUAUUCCUAAUCAUAAUAUACAGAAGAUUUAUUAGCCAUCUCCUAAUUAUGUAAUCGAUUAAGCACAUAUCCAUCAAAGUUACCUCAUCAAAAUACUUUUUCUUUGGAAAUAUAUUAUGUGCUAUAAUCCUAUGUAGCAAUCUAGUUCUUAACAUCAAAUCUUGACUUUAUAAUCCUUGGUUCCAUUGUUAUCCUCAUAUUAACAAAAAAAACAUUUUCAUUAACUUAGGAUAACUAAGUUUCUUUAAAUAAUAUAUUAUGCUCCAACCAUUUCCUAAAACAUAAUGUCUCUAUCAAAAGCAUUGAGAUCAUUUCCCAAGCCUCUUUUUAUAGCAACAAACCUAUUUGCAGAAGAAUUUUGAAAUCUUUGAAUAUCAUCACCCGGUAAGAGGUUCAAUCAUUUGCCCUUUUGCUCUUUGAUUCCACAUCUUUUGAGCUUUUCUUGCUUGCUAUUAUACUUGAAUCUUCAAGAAAUAAGCUAAAAAUAUGAUCAAGAGGAUGUAUUUUGGUGAGUUUUUGAGAGAGAGAGUCGGGUUUAGGGUUUGUUUUAUUUUCUAAUUUUGUUUGAGAAAUAACAAAUAUAUAUAUUGCCAAGCAAUCGACCAACUAAUUGUUUUGUGUUAAGCUCAUCUGGUCGGCCAAUUAAUUCCAAGUUGAGAAUUUCCUAAAAUUCUCUUCAUAUCCUUUCUUUGCACUAAAAAUAAAUCAUUUCCAUAUAAAAAUUAUAUCCAAAAGACAGAGAAAUCGAGAGCUAAAAAUUGAAAAUAUGAAUAAUAGCCUUGUUAUCAAUCAUCUGACUCAACCGAUCAGCCAGUUAAUCUAGUUAUAUGAGUCGAUCGAAUGGUUCACAUAAAAACCUAUAUUUUUAAAAUUUUAUCAUCCAAAUAUAUUUUAUGAUAAUGAUAAACCAGUUUGUCUAACCUUUAGACUCAAAUUCCUUGUAUUUUGCAAAAUUGAUCUUUACUUAGUGGCUUUGUGAAAUCUACUAAUUGGUGUUUUGUGCUUAUAAGCUUAAGUAUCAUAUCUCUUUUUACAAUGUGUUUCCUUGGGAAGUGAAGUCUUACUUUUAUAUGUUUUGUACGUGAGUGUUGGAUUGAAUUUUUAUAAAGACUUAUAGCACUAGUGUUAUCACACUUAAUGAGUAUACGAUCAAAAUUAAGUCAAUAGUCUUCUAGGAUUUAUUUCAUCCAUAAGCUUUUUACACAACAACUAUAUGCCACUAUAUAUUCUGCUUUAGUGAUUGAUAGGGCUACUAAGUUUUGCUUGUUAUUGGCCCAAGAUACUAGUAAGAAUCCUAAAAAAUGACAUGUUCCACUAGUAUUUUUUCUAUCAACCUUGCAUCUGACAAAGUAUGUAUUUGAAUAUCUGAUCAAGUUUAACUAGUUUCCUUUUAGAUACCAUAACUCUAAAUCUACAGUACCAUGCAAAAAGAAAAAAACUACGUUUUAUAACACUUACAUGUGAUUUUUUAGGCAAGCUUGAAAACAUGCACAUAAACAUACACAAAAUAUGAUAUCAUGUUUACUUGUAGUUAAUUAUAAAAGAGAUCUGAUCAUACCUUGAUAUCUAGUGAUGUUUACAUUCUUACCAUUUUUGAUCAUAUUAAGCUUAAUUGAUGUUCCCAUGAGUUAUCGACAACUUUAACUUGUUUAAUCAUAAAUCUUUGUAGAAGAUCUUUGAUGUACUUGCUUUGUUUAAUGAAGAUGGUAUUUGAUUUUCAAUACAAGGAAGAAGUUCAAUUUUUCCAUCUUGCUCAUUUCAAAUUCAUCUUGCAUGCAUUUUGUAAAAUUCUUACAAAGAGAUAAUUUUGUCAAUGUUAAAACCAUUAUAAAAAAGAAAGGAUUUUAAUCUAUCAUACCAUGCUCUUGGUGCUUCUUUUAAACUAUACAAGGUCCUUUUAUGUUUGAAAAUAUGAUUGAGAAAAUGAAAGUUUUCAAAACCUUCUGAUUGCUUAACAUACACUUCUUCCAUAAUAAAACCUUUUUUAAAAAAAUGUAUUUUUAACAUCCAUUUAAAAAAAGUGUAAAGUUAGCAUGAUAAGCAUAGACUAAAAGUAUCUUUAUUGAUUAUAGUCCAGCUACCAAUGUAAAUGAUUCUCUAUAAUCAAUACCUUCUUAUUGAUUAUAACAUGUGACAACUAGUCUAGUUUUGGUUCUAAUUAUUGUCCCAUAUUCAUCAACUUUGUUUUUAGAAACCCAUUUUGUUUCUAUUGUGGAUUGAUUGUUAGGUUUAAGGGGUAGUUCCUAAAUAUCAUUUCUUUUAAAUUACUUUAAUUCAUCUUGUAUGGCCAAAAUCCAUUUUUCAUCAUUUUCAGCUUUUAGAAAGGACUUGGAUUCUAUUUGAGAAACAAAUGCAAAAUGCCCUCUAAUGUUUCUAAGAGAAGCUCUAAUUCUAGUUCCUUUAAAUAGAUUGCCGAUAAUUAAUCCGGGAGGAUGGGAGCUUACAUACCUUAGCUCUUUUAGUGCUGGCAUAGAGGAGGUGCAAAACGGUUUCCCUUGCAAAAUCGUGACUAGUGGCUAAAAAAAAUGGCAUGAAAGGGGGAGCUGUGUGGUACACACCAGGUUGCGGAGGAUGCAAGGACGAGUGAAUUUAAAAGCUAGCAGGAACGGUUGCAGUUGUAGACGGGGAGGUACUAUUCUCAAAAUAUAAAUGAAAAGUUCAAUGUUAAUUAUAUUUCCAUGACGGGGCUGUGCGGUUUGUGUCAAGACCAAGGUUGCACGACGUCGUCUUUGUUUGAAAACGAGAGAAAAAUGUGAGUUAUGUCCAAUAGAUGGAUGACGUUGUUUUGUUUUUUUAACUGAAAGGCAAAAACAAACAAAGAAACAGCAAUGUAAUCCAGCGUGUGCUAAUUUUCAUUUUUUGAUCUAAUCCCCAUUCUUUAAUUUCUUCAAAUCCGGCAGAAUUUCUUCUA
Long non-coding RNA from Populus nigra (black poplar), 3420 nucleotides. RefSeq lists it as uncharacterized. NCBI's taxonomy places the organism in Eukaryota, Viridiplantae, Streptophyta, Magnoliopsida, Malpighiales, Salicaceae. The transcript is spliced from 2 exons. The record is from RefSeq and is a predicted model, not a curated record.